Maniola jurtina (meadow brown) is the source of this 525-nucleotide long non-coding RNA. RefSeq lists it as uncharacterized. The record is from RefSeq and is a predicted model, not a curated record. The transcript is spliced from 2 exons. Lineage: Eukaryota; Metazoa; Arthropoda; Insecta; Lepidoptera; Nymphalidae.
GCUGAUUAACGCUAACGCCUCCUGUGAAGAAGAGAUAUUGGUUUGAUUAGGUAAUGAAUUAUAAUAUGAGUCUUUCAAACGCAAAACUGAGCACAAUGAAAUGGGAUUUCGGGAAAAAUUAGAUAAAAUAGAAAAUGACAUUGUAGCCUUAGAUACUACAAACAAAAGCCGAGCUGGUGUGUUAACUUGUAUUUAAUACGCCAUAAUAUUUUGAAAGUGCCUAAAGUUAAAAUUCCCAUUGUAGGUACAGUGCGCGCAAGACAAGCACCAAUUUGGACACGAGGAAUUUGAAUUUGCGCAUUGUACAAAACAGAUUUCAGACUCGUGUCUUGUGUCUUGUGUUGUGUCAAAGUGCACUCUAACUCUAUAGAUGUUAGCCUAAGUCUACGACCUGCGCAAACGUCAUGUUGCAAUGUCAGAUUAGACUACUUGUUUAGCGAUCAUUGAACGUCGCAAGAUUAGAUGUUAAUCAAUCAUAAGCCAAGAUGGUUAUCAGUUGAGAUUGAAUGAAUGCAAAAAACAAGU